RNAcentral lists this ribosomal RNA (551 nucleotides) under uncultured bacterium. RNAcentral describes it as "bacterial SSU rRNA". It matches the Rfam family "Bacterial small subunit ribosomal RNA", at positions 353 to 896 of the family's 1533-position model. The record is from RNAcentral.
AGUGGGGAAUAUUGGACAAUGGGCGCAAGCCUGAUCCAGCCAUGCCGCGUGUGUGAAGAAGGUCUUCGGAUUGUAAAGCACUUUAAGUUGGGAGGAAGGGCUGAUGCUUAAUACGUAUCAGUCUUGACGUUACCGACAGAAUAAGCACCGGCUAACUCUGUGCCAGCAGCCGCGGUAAUACAGAGGGUGCAAGCGUUAAUCGGAAUUACUGGGCGUAAAGCGCGCGUAGGUGGCUAAGUAAGAUGGGUGUGAAAUCCCCGGGCUCAACCUGGGAACUGCAUCCAUAACUGCUUAGCUAGAGUACGGUAGAGGGUAGUGGAAUUUCCUGUGUAGCGGUGAAAUGCGUAGAUAUAGGAAGGAACACCAGUGGCGAAGGCGACUACCUGGACUGAUACUGACACUGAGGUGCGAAAGCGUGGGGAGCAAACAGGAUUAGAUACCCUGGUAGUCCACGCCGUAAACGAUGUCAACUAGCCGUUGGGAACCUUGAGUUCUUAGUGGCGCAGCUAACGCACUAAGUUGACCGCCUGGGGAGUACGGUCGCAAGAUUA